RNAcentral lists this transfer RNA (50 nucleotides) under Hebesoma violentum. RNAcentral describes it as "tRNA-Tyr". Lineage: Eukaryota; Metazoa; Acanthocephala; Eoacanthocephala; Neoechinorhynchida; Neoechinorhynchidae. The record is from RNAcentral.
GGGUGUAGUUAGGCUAAUUUUGAUGAUACUUGUAAUGGGGAUUAGAUUUG